This 678-nucleotide ribosomal RNA is filed under the name Triticum aestivum (bread wheat). RNAcentral describes it as "partial small subunit ribosomal RNA". The record is from RNAcentral. Lineage: Eukaryota; Viridiplantae; Streptophyta; Magnoliopsida; Poales; Poaceae.
AUGGUGUUCGUUCACAAGGGUGGUGUUUGGUGGUUCCUCUUUCUCGCGGCGGUGCUGCUCGCUGCUGCGGCCGUAGGAGCGGAGCAGGAGGAUGGGGCCAUGGUCACCGUCGUCGCGGAGGUGGAGGAGGAGGUCGGUGGGCGUGUCCAUGACCAGGGCAACGACAUGUGUGACAUCAAGUGUCAACACGGGCAACAUCUCGCAUGGAGACGACGGUGCGUGAACGAGUGCCACAGACAAAAGCUUCAUCAUUCUAGAAGAGCUUUCUGCGAAAUGAAGUGCCAAGAUCACUACCAUGACCCGUCAAGGAUGGAGCUGUGCGUGCACCAGUGCAUGAGCUAUGGCAUCAAGCUCCAUGCGGACAGCAACAACGACGUCGAUCACCAUCCCCACGCCUGGGAGCUGGAGGUCGGCUGGGGUGCCGACGACCGAAGCAACGACAUGUGCGACAUCAAGUGCCAGCACUGGCAAGACCCCGCCGGGAGACGACGGUGCGUGAACGAGUGCCACAGCCGGGAGCAUCAUCAUCCUAGCAGAGCUUUCUGCGAGAUGAAAUGUCAACAUCACUACCAUGACCCGUCAAGGAUGGAACUGUGCGUGCACCAAUGCAUGAGCUAUGGCCUCAACGACCUUCAUGUAGGCGGCAACAAUGGCGUCGCUGAGCAUCCCACCGGCUGA